Molecule: long non-coding RNA, 1034 nt
Organism: Sapajus apella (tufted capuchin)
Lineage: Eukaryota; Metazoa; Chordata; Mammalia; Primates; Cebidae
Exons: 5
Source: RefSeq, a predicted model, not a curated record
GGGAGGCACAGGAUUUCCCAUGGACUCCACAAAGCAGGCCUGGGCAGUCACAGGUACUGGUCCCUGCUUCCUUUGGAAUGAGACUUGCCACACCCAUAAUGGCAGUGGCGGCUUGUCCAAAGCGGCAGCUGCCAUGGCACCGGCUGCAGCAAGGACAAGAACUUGGGCAAAGGUACCACCAGCCGCAGAGGUUUCUGGCCAAAAAAUGGUACCCUAAAGAUGCUGUAACACCCACAAAGACAGAGAGAGGCCACCUCUCCCCAGCUCAACAUGGGCCAGGAGUGACCCUCUGAGCAGCAUCUAUGAACAUUGUAGAAAACUGUGGUCGAGAUGGUGAAGCAGAGACAAAUUUUGGUUCUGACCAUAGACAACCCCUGAGGCCCCUCAAGGUCCCCUGCAGUGGCACUUACACACUCUGAUCUCACAUCAGCAAUAGACCAGGGGCCACACAAGCUGGGAACAUGAGGCUGUGCCAUACUCUGCCACAGGAGCCAGUUGCUGCCUCUCCCUGGGACCUGCACACAGCAUGCCCCAGCAGCUCCAAGGCCCAUGGCUACAUGCAGACAUGAUGAGCUCUGAGGAACUCAGAGACCUUGGCACCUGUUGAAGACAUCUUGAAGGACCCCUGUGCCCAGCCUUGCCUAUACUCUAAGGUGCUCAGCUGUGUGCUUGUGGCAGCCACUUCAGGCCACUGGUGGGGGUGCCUGCUGGUUCCUCACCUGGCUGCAGCUGCUCAUCCACUCUUCAGAACAUGCCUACCACAGGAAGGGCAGAAGCGGGACCCUUUUCGGGGUCUUCCAGAUGAGCAAGAAGCACAGGCACCUCUGGUCCUUUGGGAAGCCUUCAGUGGGUGCCUUAGGACCCCUGAAGAGAAAAAGCCUUCACAGGCUCAACCUUCCUUGUCCAGAAGGUCUCAGAUGUGCGUGAGUCCCCCAGGAGAAACCCCAAAGUGAUACAGAAGGCCCUGGACUGAGCCUUGGGGCCCCUCCUCAGAGACCCAGGCCAGCUACCAGGCAGCUGCUGAGUUAGACCUG